This 542-nucleotide ribosomal RNA is filed under the name uncultured bacterium. Its description in RNAcentral is "partial 16S ribosomal RNA". It matches the Rfam family "Bacterial small subunit ribosomal RNA", at positions 355 to 886 of the family's 1533-position model. The record is from RNAcentral.
UGGGGAAUAUUGCACAAUGGGCGCAAGCCUGAUGCAGCCAUGCCGCGUGUGUGAAGAAGGCCUUCGGGUUGUAAAGCACUUUCAGCGAGGAGGAAGGUGGUGAGCUUAAUACGCUCAUCAAUUGACGUUACUCGCAGAAGAAGCACCGGCUAACUCCGUGCCAGCAGCCGCGGUAAUACGGAGGGUGCAAGCGUUAAUCGGAAUUACUGGGCGUAAAGCGCACGCAGGCGGUUUGUUAAGUCAGAUGUGAAAUCCCCGGGCUCAACCUGGGAACUACAUUUGAAACUGGCAAGCUAGAGUCUCGUAGAGGGGGGUAGAAUUCCAGGUGUAGCGGUGAAAUGCGUAGAGAUCUGGAGGAAUACCGGUGGCGAAGGCGGCCCCCUGGACGAAGACUGACGCUCAGGUGCGAAAGCGUGGGGCAGCAAACAGGAUUAGAUACCCUGGUAGUCCAGCGCUGUAAACGAUGUCGAUUUGGAGGUUGUGCCCUUGAGGCGUGGCUUCCGGAGCUAACGCGUUAAAGUCGACCGCCUGGGGAGUACGGC